Chinchilla lanigera (long-tailed chinchilla) is the source of this 2543-nucleotide long non-coding RNA. RefSeq lists it as uncharacterized. The transcript has 3 exons. The record is from RefSeq and is a predicted model, not a curated record. Lineage: Eukaryota; Metazoa; Chordata; Mammalia; Rodentia; Chinchillidae.
UUUAGAAAUGUGCUUUUAUUUUCAAACUCAGGUACGUGACACUCUACAGUUGAUGCUAGCACACCUGUGAAAGGUUUAACAACAUUAGGAACUGAUGGCCAGUGAUAUGCAAAGCCAGCAUCUCCUUCUCCAUUCACUCUGUCAGGUUGUACACAAGAAGCAAUGCAGAGGGCCAAUAGAGAUUCACAUACUCCAACACUUCAUUUCCUCCAACCACUCUUCCAGUGUUGGGCUAUCCAUGUUCUGCCUUUCAAAUUAUUGUGGAUAAGACUUUGUCAAGGGUUUUUGUUUUAUUUGCUACAUGGGUCACCAUCUUUCCAGCCCUUGGUAUUAGAUUGUUUACUGAUACUUUACUGCUAAGCCACUGUUUAGCCAGCCAGCUUUCCCAUUGCUGGGACACAAUACCUAAGAUCCAUUACUUAAGGUAGGGCAGAUUUAAUUUGGUUCAUGGUUUUAGGGGAUUCAGUUAGUGGUUUAAAACUGGCUCUGAGGCAGAAAUAUCAUGGCAGAAGGGUGUGGGGAGCAAAGAUGCUUAGUUCAUGGUGGUCAAGAGACAGAACAGGAGGACAUUGCCAGAGAGAAAGGGGCCAGAGACCAUACAUGGUGUUCGAGGACAUGUCACCAUAACCCAUCCAGACACAAACAGAAGUUUCCUUCACCAAUCCCCUGGGCAAUUCCCAAAUCAAUCAAGUUGACACCAGGAAGCUUAACCAUCAUAGCCACUUCCUAUUUUGGAAUUUUAUGUUAAAGCACAUUUUGGGUUCAAAGAUAUACAUCAGCCAAGGUAGGUUAGCUGCUAUCACAAACAUUGCUGAAUCUCAGUCACUUAACAUGCUUGUAUUUUACUUCUUGCUCAUGUCAUACUUUAAUGUGGUAAGUACUCACCAAAAACUCUGCUUCAUCCUGUGGUUCUACCAUCUUAUCAAAUUUCAUAGCUGUCAACAGAUUUCUCCCAUUUUGGUAGACAGAACAGGGGAGAAAGUGUAUGUGGGGUACUGGGCAGAACAUUUUGUUUUGGGGAACUAGAUUACCAAGGUUCACAUUUCCCUGUACCCAUCUGCAAGAAAGACCAAAAAUGCAGGCAAGCUGUGGAAAUAGGGUUGUUUAAAAUUCAGUAGUCUUUAUCGACUUUAUCAUAGCAAAAUAUAUUUUAGAACAUAGACCAGGAAGGCACAGGAAAGUAGGACAAGAUAUGGGCAAGGAAUGAAGGACAGGAACUGACCAGCUUCCGUUGGUGGCCCAUAGGACAAUGAUCCAGUGGCUGCGAACCUCUGCUUGGUUCUGGGAGGCACAAAUAUCCAAAGGGCUCUGACUCAAGGUUGGAGUAAGAUUGUGGCUCAGCUCCACUGAAUGAAGAGGCAUUUGGCUACUGCUCAAGUGGGAGAACUGUGCUAAACUCUCAGAAGUAAACUGAUUUCCAGUGACUGAUGACAAAGGAUCAGAUCAACCUCAAGGACUCCCUUCAAACCACCCCAAAGAAACCAACUGGGCACCUCAUCAGGCUGGAAUUUCCUCCUGUUUUUUAUACCAGGCUUAAAAAAAUAUGAACAAUGAGAAUAUUGAAGGUGACCAAACCAAAGAGAUGGGGAAAGUGUCGGAAGUUCUCCUUGAAGACCCUGGGCUCAUACACCCAAUGCACUACACAGGCCAGCCUCUGAGAAGCAAGGAGCACCAACGCAGAGCUAGUAGAAUGGAUGGCUUGCCAUGGACUGAAAACUCAACAAAUACCUUUUUUGGAAAGGCUGCCCAGAGUGCUUGCCUCGGAUGCUAAAGCUGCAGGAAUAGUGAUUGGUUUAUCAGACAUGUGGAAACUUAAUCAGGUCACUUUAGCAACUGAGCAAAGUAAAAAGGCAAGAACAUUAGCUGAUGUGAAAAUCACUGGCUGUUUUCACAACUGUUCGGGAGUGCUCAGAAAGGCAAGCUUAUUUUCUUUCAGCCCCAAUUAGAGUCUUUAGAUUCUAUUUAGAUAUAAUUGAAUGCCAAAAUGGAGUCACGCCUUGGAGCUACAUUUCUGUGCUCAAAACAGACUGCAAGGGUGAGGAGAAUCCCUCUGUAAAUCUACUCGUCAGUGAAACUACAAAGGAGGAAGCCAAAAAUCUGGCUUUGUGACUCUUCCUUGAUCACCCAUUUCUAGCUUGUAAGAGAGGUUAGAAUUAAAAUUAGGUUAGAAAUAGAAUUCAAUUUUUGGUAGUUAAGUGAACUUCUGUUUUUUGAGAGUUAUUGGAAAAGUAAAGGGACCUGCCUAAAUAUCGUUUUAGCCCUGUAGAGCAGGUUUGAACAGGUGGUGGGAAAAAAAUACAAAGUUUUAUGUUGCACAUAUGAGUCCUGCUUCUUCAAGGAUUAUGUGAAUUUCAGAAGACUCUUCUCUAUUUUGACAUUGUUAAAAUGUUGGGUUGAUUCACCCAAAAUUCCUGUAAACUGAAUGUUCCAGACAGCAAUAUUUAUAACAGAUUCACAACAGAUUACAUUAUUACAUAGAAUAGAGAAAAAACUCAGAUGAAAGAUGUUUGAUUCAACAAUCUCUUAAACAAAGGUCAGGUACU